RNAcentral lists this unclassified non-coding RNA (178 nucleotides) under Candidatus Williamhamiltonella defendens. Its description in RNAcentral is "Candidatus Hamiltonella defensa partial 16S-23S ribosomal RNA intergenic spacer". The stretch from base 1 to 119 matches the Rfam family "Bacterial small subunit ribosomal RNA", at positions 1415 to 1533 of the family's 1533-position model. Lineage: Bacteria; Pseudomonadati; Pseudomonadota; Gammaproteobacteria; Enterobacterales; Enterobacteriaceae. The record is from RNAcentral.
UUGCAAAAGAAGUAGGUAGCUUAACCGCAAGGAGGGCGCUUACCACUUUGUGAUUCAUGACUGGGGUGAAGUCGUAACAAGGUAACCGUAGGGGAACCUGCGGUUGGAUCACCUCCUUAACUAUAAUCUCUCACUAUCNGUGUCCACUCNCUUUAUCUUAUAAAUUAUGAAAAAAGAC